This 414-nucleotide ribosomal RNA is filed under the name uncultured bacterium. RNAcentral describes it as "partial 16S ribosomal RNA". It matches the Rfam family "Bacterial small subunit ribosomal RNA", at positions 355 to 761 of the family's 1533-position model. The record is from RNAcentral.
UGGGGAAUAUUGGACAAUGGGCGAAAGCCUGAUCCAGCCAUGCCGCGUGUGUGAAGAAGGUCUUCGGAUUGUAAAGCACUUUAAGUUGGGAGGAAGGGCAGUAAAUUAAUACUUUGCUGUUUUGACGUUACCGACAGAAUAAGCACCGGCUAACUCUGUGCCAGCAGCCGCGGUAAUACAGAGGGUGCAAGCGUUAAUCGGAAUUACUGGGCGUAAAGCGCGCGUAGGUGGUUCGUUAAGUUGGAUGUGAAAUCCCCGGGCUCAACCUGGGAACUGCAUUCAAAACUGACGAGCUAGAGUAUGGUAGAGGGUGGUGGAAUUUCCUGUGUAGCGGUGAAAUGCGUAGAUAUAGGAAGGAACACCAGUGGCGAAGGCGACCACCUGAACUGAUACUGACACUGAGGUGCGAAAGCG